This 467-nucleotide ribosomal RNA is filed under the name uncultured bacterium. RNAcentral describes it as "partial 16S ribosomal RNA". It matches the Rfam family "Bacterial small subunit ribosomal RNA", at positions 28 to 506 of the family's 1533-position model. The record is from RNAcentral.
GACGAACGCUGGCGGCGUGCUUAACACAUGCAAGUCGAACGGAAAGGCCCUGCUUUUGUGGGGUGCUCGAGUGGCGAACGGGUGAGUAACACGUGAGUAACCUGCCCUUGACUUUGGGAUAACUUCAGGAAACUGGGGCUAAUACCGGAUAGGAGCUCCUGCUGCAUGGUGUGGGUUGGAGAGUUUCGGCGGUUGGGGAUGGACUCGCGGCUUAUCAGCUUGUUGGUGGGGUAGUGGCUUACCAAGGCUUUGACGGGUAGCCGGCCUGAGGGGGUGACCGGCUACAUUGGGACUGAGAUACGGCCCAGACGUAUACGGGAGGCAGCAGUGAGGAAGAAUGCACAAUGGGCGGAAGCCUGAGGCAGGAACGCCGCGUGCGGGAUGACGGCCUUCGGGUUGUAAACCGCUUUAGCCUGUGACGAAGCGUGAUAGACGGUAAUGGGUAAAGAAGCACCGGCUAAUUACGU